Long non-coding RNA from Orbicella faveolata, 448 nucleotides. The record is from RefSeq and is a predicted model, not a curated record. NCBI's taxonomy places the organism in Eukaryota, Metazoa, Cnidaria, Anthozoa, Scleractinia, Merulinidae.
AUCACUGAAUUCUUUUAGUCGGCGAGGACGAACUAUUUGAAGCCGGGUGGAUUAAAAACACCUCUGAAGUGAACGCGGACGUAAAAAGAUUGAAUAUGGCUAGAUUUGAGUGCUCUUGUAUAUACCAAGCUCUCUCAAGCACUUCAGAAAAGGUCAGAAAAAUCCCCGAAGUCUAGGUUUGUUAUGGUGGUUGCCAUCUUAAAAAUCCUUGAUAAAUAGUACUGGUCGGGUACACUGUCAUAAAGUGUGUGAAAUAACAAUUGUUAAUGAAAUUUUAUACAGGAGCCAUCUUUAGCGCUACUUAUAAUUUGACCUCAACAACUUAUUUCACAGUUGUAUUACAAAUAACAUACUUUGAAUGCGAUGUGGUAGGUUUGAAACAUCAUUGUCAAGUUUUAGGAGGAGUGUAACAGUGUUAUACCGGUCAAGCAGAGGACUGAAAUGGCAG